ACGGAGGAUCCGAGCGUUAUCCGGAUUUAUUGGGUUUAAAGGGUGCGUAGGUGGUUUAAUAAGUCAGCGGUGAAAGUUUGCAGCUUAACUGUAAAAAUGCCGUUGAAACUGUUAGACUUGAGUGUAAAUGAGGUAGACGGAAUGCGUGGUGUAGCAGUGAAAUGCGUAGAUAUGCCGCGGAACACCGAUGGCGAAGGCAACCCACCGGGCUAGAACUGACACUGAUGCACGAAAGCGUGGGGAUCAAACAG
This 251-nucleotide ribosomal RNA is filed under the name uncultured prokaryote. RNAcentral's name for it is "partial 16S rRNA". It matches the Rfam family "Bacterial small subunit ribosomal RNA", at positions 525 to 775 of the family's 1533-position model. The record is from RNAcentral.